GGGCCCGCACAAGCGGUGGAGCAUGUGGUUUAAUUCGAUGCAACGCGAAGAACCUUACCAGGACUUGACAUACUACAAAUUCUUUUGAGAAAGAGAAGUGCCUUCGGGAAUGUAGAUACAGGUGGUGCAUGGCUGUCGUCAGCUCGUGUCGUGAGAUGUUGGGUUAAGUCCCGCAACGAGCGCAACCCUUAUUUUUAGUUACCAAUUCGUUGGGUUUUUUAGAAAGACUGCCGGUGACAAACCGGAGGAAGGUGAGGAUGACGUCAAGUCAGCAUGCCCCUUAUGUCCUGGGCUACACACGUGCUACAAUGGUUAAGACAAAGAGUUGCAAACUUGCGAAAGUGCGCUAA
This 350-nucleotide ribosomal RNA is filed under the name uncultured bacterium. Its description in RNAcentral is "bacterial SSU rRNA". It matches the Rfam family "Bacterial small subunit ribosomal RNA", at positions 917 to 1271 of the family's 1533-position model. The record is from RNAcentral.